GACGAACCGUGCGAACGUUAUUCGGAAUCACUGGGCUUAAAGCGCGUGUAGGCGGGACGGCACGUCGGUCGCUGAAAUCCCCCGGCUUAACCGGGGAACGGGCGCCGAUACGACCGCCCUAGAGGGACGUAGGGGGACCUGGAACUUCCGGUGGAGCGGUGAAAUGCGUUGAGAUCGGAAGGAACGCCCGUGGCGAAAGCGAACUGCUGGACCUCUUCUGACACUGAGGCGCGAAAGCUAGGGGAGCAAACGGG
RNAcentral lists this ribosomal RNA (254 nucleotides) under uncultured bacterium. RNAcentral describes it as "partial 16S ribosomal RNA". It matches the Rfam family "Bacterial small subunit ribosomal RNA", at positions 524 to 776 of the family's 1533-position model. The record is from RNAcentral.